UCGCUCAGGUCCUUCCUCAGCUGGUCGCAUCAAUCUUUCGACUUUUACUAAAGAUUGCCGUGGGGCAGGACACUCUAAUGAGCCUAUAGGCCAAUUUUUGGGAGGCCUUGCCCGUUUGGGUGAGGC
This 126-nucleotide small nuclear RNA is filed under the name Rhipicephalus microplus (southern cattle tick). RNAcentral's name for it is "U5 spliceosomal RNA". The stretch from base 1 to 113 matches the Rfam family "U5 spliceosomal RNA". Rfam says of the family: U5 RNA is a component of both types of known spliceosome. Lineage: Eukaryota; Metazoa; Arthropoda; Arachnida; Ixodida; Ixodidae. The record is from Rfam by way of RNAcentral.